AGUCGGCGAUGAGGAGAUACCUACUGUGUUGAAUUAUGGUGAUAUUUCUUAUACGCUAUUCUGAGCCGAUAGGCUAACUUGUGUAAAUACGGUUCGAGUCAUUCUGAAAUAACUGAAAGACCAUGUGUUGUUCACCUGCAGUUUGUGCGGACUUGAUCAGAGGCGCAAAGGAGAAGAAUCUGAAAGUGAAAGGACCAGUGCGCAUGCCUACCAAGACACUGAGAAUCACUACCAGAAAAACCCCUUGCGGUGAAGGUUCCAAGACGUGGGAUCGUUUCCAGAUGAGAAUCCACAAGCGACUCAUUGACUUACACAGUCCUUCAGAGAUUGUUAAGCAGAUUACUUCCAUCAGUAUUGAGCCUGGAGUGGAGGUUGAAGUCACCAUUGCAGAUGCCUAAGUCAACUGUUUAAAUAAAUUGACUUAAUUGUUAAGUUU
RNAcentral lists this long non-coding RNA (436 nucleotides) under Rattus norvegicus (Norway rat). Its description in RNAcentral is "long non-coding RNA NONRATT023030". The stretch from base 4 to 71 matches the Rfam family "Small nucleolar RNA U54". Lineage: Eukaryota; Metazoa; Chordata; Mammalia; Rodentia; Muridae. The record is from RNAcentral.